GGUAUAGACCCGAAACCCGGUGAUCUAGCCAUGGGCAGGUUGAAGGUUGGGUAACACUAACUGGAGGACCGAACCGACUAAUGUUGAAAAAUUAGCGGAUGACCUGUGGCUGGGGGUGAAAGGCCAAUCAAACCGGGAGAUAGCUGGUUCUCCCCGAAAGCUAUUUAGGUAGCGCCUCGUGAAUUCAUCUCCGGGGGUAGAGCACUGUUUCGGCUAGGGGGCCAUCCCGGCUUACCAACCCGAUGCAAACUGCGAAUACCGGAGAAUGUUAUCACGGGAGACACACGGCGGGUGCUAACGUCCGUCGUGAAGAGGGAAACAACCCAGACCGCCAGCUAAGGUCCCAAAGUCAUGGUUAAGUGGGAAACGAUGUGGGAAGGCCCAGACAGCCAGGAUGUUGGCUUAGAAGCAGCCAUCAUUUAAAGAAAGCGUAAUAGCUCACUGGUCGAGUCGGCCUGCGCGGAAGAUGUAACGGGGCUAAACCAUGCACCGAAGCUGCGGCAGCGACACUCAGGUGUUGUUGGGUAGGGGAGCGUUCUGUAAGCCUG
Molecule: ribosomal RNA, 548 nt
Filed under: Salmonella enterica subsp. enterica
Lineage: Bacteria; Pseudomonadati; Pseudomonadota; Gammaproteobacteria; Enterobacterales; Enterobacteriaceae
Description: bacterial LSU rRNA
Rfam family: Bacterial large subunit ribosomal RNA
Source: RNAcentral